Molecule: ribosomal RNA, 441 nt
Filed under: uncultured bacterium
Lineage: Bacteria
Description: partial 16S ribosomal RNA
Rfam family: Bacterial small subunit ribosomal RNA
Source: RNAcentral
CCUACGGGAGGCAGCAGUGGGGGAUAUUGCACAAUGGGGGGAACCCUGAUGCAGCGACGCCGCGUGGGUGAAGGAGUGCUUCGGUAUGUAAAGCCCUAUCGGCAGGGAAGAAGCAAGACGGUACCUGACUAAGAAGCCCCGGCUAACUACGUGCCAGCAGCCGCGGUAAUACGUAGGGGGCGAGCGUUAUCCGGAUUCACUGGGUGUAAAGGGAGCGUAGACGGCCAAGCAAGCCAGGGGUGAAAGCCCGGGGCCCAACCCCGGGACUGCCCUUGGAACUGCAUGGCUGGAGUGCGGGAGGGGCAGGCGGAAGUCCUGGUGUAGCGGUGAAAUGCGUAGAUAUCAGGAGGAACACCGGCGGCGAAGGCGGCCUGCUGGACCGCGACUGACGUUGAGGCUCGAAAGCGUGGGGAGCGAACAGGAUUAGAUACCCUUGUAGUC